RNAcentral lists this ribosomal RNA (301 nucleotides) under uncultured bacterium. RNAcentral describes it as "partial 16S ribosomal RNA". It matches the Rfam family "Bacterial small subunit ribosomal RNA", at positions 509 to 809 of the family's 1533-position model. The record is from RNAcentral.
CAGCAGCCACGGUAAUACGUAGGUGGCAAGCGUUGUCCGGAAUUAUUGGGCGUAAAGGGCUCGCAGGCGGUUUCUUAAGUCUGAUGUGAAAGCCCCCGGCUCAACCGGGGAGGGUCAUUGGAAACUGGGAAACUUGAGUGCAGAAGAGGAGAGUGGAAUUCCACGUGUAGCGGUGAAAUGCGUAGAGAUGUGGAGGAACACCAGUGGCGAAGGCGACUCUCUGGUCUGUAACUGACGCUGAGGAGCGAAAGCGUGGGGAGCGAACAGGAUUAGAUACCCCUGUAGUCCCUGUCUCUUAUAU